This 825-nucleotide long non-coding RNA is filed under the name Cicer arietinum (chickpea). Its description in RNAcentral is "long non-coding RNA (CARI_LNC001199)". Lineage: Eukaryota; Viridiplantae; Streptophyta; Magnoliopsida; Fabales; Fabaceae. The record is from RNAcentral.
AUAUUCUGACAACGCCCAUUGGGCUUGCUCCAUGGUGAGAGCCCAUUUAGCUCAUUAGAUUUUAAUGUUUACUAAAAAUAAGGGGCUAGUUCAAAUCUGGACUACAGAAUAUUGUGAUGUAGCUCUCUAAUCUCUAUGAUUUGUAUCUUUCCAACUUGUUGAUGGAGAUUCCUCUGGCUCUUAUAGUGGUUGCUUACUUGCCUAUACACAUGACCCAUUCAUGUAUUGUUACUGUUGAAGGUUAUUAGCCACAGAGACAGAGUGAGACAAGGAGGUGGGGGACAUGAUAUCAAGAGAGACAAGAAUUUGUAGCUUGACGUUUGUCUUUGUCGUACUAAUUAAUGGUGUGGUGUGGUUGCUUCAAUUCAACAAUGAAAUGCCAAUUAGAAGGGUACGGUUAUUUAUUUAUGAGGUAUUUCCAGCUGUUUAAAGCGACCCUAGAAUACUUUCAUUGUCACCUCUUUGACUAUGAGGUAUAUUUUAACUUCUAAAUUCAAACUCAGAUUUUUCAAAUGAUUCGUUGUUAACUUCAUUGUCAGUUGUCAGGUUCUUUAACUAUGAAGUUAUGUAUUAGAACUCCUAAACUUAGUUUCUCUUGUUUUAAUAUAAAUAAAUAGUUUUUACAUAGAUUAGGUUACUUUCGUGUUUUGUUUUGUUUUGAGUUAGUCGUUUUAAAUCUACAUUAUUUUAUUUUCGGUCUUAGUGCGGUGUUCGGUUGAUUCAAAUUGACAAAUAAACUUCAAUCAAUUACCGAUUCAACCAAUGAUUAAGUUGUUAACGUUGCAAAUCCAUAUAUAUAGGUAUUUCGGUCACUUUGAUUUUGUC